Molecule: unclassified non-coding RNA, 291 nt
Filed under: Melitaea cinxia (Glanville fritillary)
Lineage: Eukaryota; Metazoa; Arthropoda; Insecta; Lepidoptera; Nymphalidae
Description: misc RNA ENSMCXG00005013746.1
Source: RNAcentral
UUCUCAUCAAUAGAAACGAAUUAAGUUCAAACAGCAGGUAAUUGCUAUAAACUGUUAAAGAGUUCCCUCGACUAUCUUUCUUCUCCAUCAUCAGAUCGACUCCAGACCUUUAUUAAAUAGUAGUGCUUUAUAGUACUUAAUGAAAACAUGAUUAAAUUUACUAGUCACCCUUACGAUUUUUGAAAGUUUCCCUCGAUUUCUCUGGGAUCCCAUCAUCAGACCCUGGUUUCCUUAUCAUGGUACCAAACUAUGCAUAUCUCCUUUCCAACAAAAAAAGAAUUAUCCAAAUCG